UUGGAGGGCAAGUCUGGUGCCAGCAGCCGCGGUAAUUCCAGCUCCAAUAGCGUAUAUUAAAGUUGUUGCCGUUAAAAAGCUCGUAGUUGAACCUUGGCCCUGGCUGAUCUGUCCUCCUAAUCGAGCGCACGGAUUCGGUCGGGGCUUUCCUUCUGGGGAGCCCCAUGCCCUUCACUGGGUGUGGCGGGGAACCAGGACUUUUACCUUGAAAAAAUUAGAGUGUUCAAAGCAGGCCUUUGCUCGAAUACAUUAGCAUGGAAUAAUAGAAUAGGACAUCGGUUCUAUUUUGUUGGUUUCUAGGACCGCUGUAAUGAUUAAUAGGGACAGUCGGGGGCGUCAGUAUUCAAUUGUCAGAGGUGAAAUUCUUGGAUUUAUUGAAGACUAACUACUGCGAAAGCAUUCGCCAAGGAUGUUUUCAUUAAUCAGUGAACGAAAGUUAGGGGAUCGAAGACGAUGAGAUACGUGGGUGGUGUCGUGUGCAGGCUUUGGGAGUUGG
Molecule: ribosomal RNA, 496 nt
Filed under: uncultured Ascomycota
Lineage: Eukaryota; Fungi; Ascomycota
Description: SSU rRNA
Rfam family: Eukaryotic small subunit ribosomal RNA
Source: RNAcentral